Molecule: RNA transcript, 3174 nt
Organism: Vidua chalybeata
Lineage: Eukaryota; Metazoa; Chordata; Aves; Passeriformes; Viduidae
Gene: POMT1
Gene name: protein O-mannosyltransferase 1
Exons: 22
Source: RefSeq, a predicted model, not a curated record
UGGGGCGGGGGGCGCCGGUCCUGACGGCGGGCUCAGUCCUACAGUCCUGAUCCUGGUCACGAUCCCGGUCCUAGUCCCGAUCCUAAUGCCGGUCCUAGUGCUGGUCCCGGGCGUGUUCCCGGGCCCGAUGCUGGUCCCGGUCCCGGCUCCGCGGUGCCGCUGCUCACUCGCCCCCUUCACCCCCGUGCAGCUGAGGGGGGUGGGCGAGGCCCCGCGGGGGCUGGGGUUGGUGCUCCUCUGCCCCCCAAAAACCCUCAAGGGAGGAUGCAGGGCUGGAUACAGGGCGGGUGGUGGGGCUUAGCGACGCUCUGAGGGCGACCUGUGGGGUCAGCGGAGCCCCCGGGAGCUUAAGGGGGGAACAGGGCGGGGUGGGGGACGCUGGCCCUGCUCCCCCCUCGUAAGGGGUGCGGAGCCUGGCCGAGGUUUUGUGUUACCCGAGGAGCCCGAGGUGGUGCUGCACACCUGCCCUGGGCACAGCCGUACCGCAGGGCUCAGCAGGGAGAUCCCGGGCUCGCAGGGCCUGCGAGGGGGUGACAGAGCCCAGGUGGGAGCGCAGCUCUGCCAGGGGCUCUGCUCCACGCAGCGCUUGUGUUUUGUAGGCAGAGGUAAACCAGGCCAGCGGAUGGUGGUGAUGCGCUCACAUCUCGCUUUGUUCUCCCCUGAUCAAAGCCACGCAGAUGGAUUUGUUCUGGUUCAGACAAACCUUUGACAGGAUGUUGGGAUUUCUGAAGGAGCCAGUUGUGGUCACUGCAAAGAUCAAUGUGAGCCUUGUGGCACUGACCGUGAUGGGAUUAAUAAGUCGUCUCUGGGGGCUUUGCUAUCCACGGGCUGUGGUUUUCGAUGAAGUUUAUUAUGGCCAGUUUGUUUCACUCUACAUGAAGAGGAUCUUCUUUGUGGAUGACAGUGGCCCACCCUUUGGCCACAUGCUGCUGGCCUUGGGAGGUUACUUAGGAGGAUUUGAUGGAAACUUCCUAUGGAACAGGAUUGGAGCUGAAUACAGCAUGAACGUUCCUGUGUGGUCCCUGCGACUCCUGCCAGCCCUGGCUGGUGCUCUCUGUGUGCCUUUAGCCUACCAGAUUUUGGUUGAACUGCACUUCUCCCACUGUGCUGCACUUGGAGCUGCUCUUCUGAUUCUCUUAGAAAACUCUCUGAUCACUCAAUCAAGGUUAAUGCUUCUGGAAUCAAUACUGAUUUUUUUUAUCCUGCUUGCAGUUUUGUCCUACCUGAAGUUCUACAAUUUGCAAAAGCACAGUGCCUUCUCUGGAAGCUGGUGGUUUUGGCUCCUGCUGACUGGAGUAGCCUGUUCUUGUGCAGUUGGAGUGAAAUAUAUGGGCCUGUUUACCUAUAUUCUGCUCUUGGCCACUGCAGGACUCCACUUCUGGCACAUGAUAGGAGACCAGAACUUGUCAAAUGUUUCCUUGCUGUGCCAUUUUCUAGCCCGGGGUCUGGCCCUUAUCAUCAUCCCCAUGGGGCUGUACCUGUCCUUCUUCUACGUUCACUUGGCUUUGCUGUAUCGCUCUGGGCCUCAUGACCAGAUCAUGACAAGUGCUUUCCAAGCCAGCUUAGAGGGUGGGCUGGCUCGAAUCACUCAGGGUCAGCCCUUAGAGGUGGCCUACGGCUCUCAGAUCACCCUGCGGAAUGUGCUGGGCAAGCCCAUGCAGUGCUGGCUCCACUCUCACACCAACACUUACCCCAUCAGGUAUGAGAAUGGCCGAGGGAGUUCCCAUCAGCAGCAGGUGACCUGCUAUCCCUUCAAGGAUGUGAACAACUGGUGGAUUGUCAAAGAUCCUGGAAUGCAGCAGCUGGUGGUGAGUAACCCCCCACGGCCUGUCAGGCACGGCCACAUCGUGCAGCUGGUCCACGGCAUCACAACUCGCUACCUCAACACGCAUGACGUUGCUGCUCCUCUUAGCCCCCAUUCCCAAGAAGUUUCCUGCUAUAUUGAUUAUAACAUCUCCAUGCCAGCACAGAACCUCUGGAGAGUGGAAAUUGUAAAUCGUGAGUCUGACACAGACGUGUGGAAGACAAUUCUGUCGGAAGUGAGGUUUGUUCACGUGAACACCUCUGCAGUGCUAAAGCUCAGUGGAGCAUCUCUGCCUGAGUGGGGAUACCGGCAGCUGGAGGUGGUUGGAGAGAAGCUGUCCAAAGGCUACCACCAGAGCAUGGUGUGGAAUGUGGAAGAGCACAGAUAUGGGAAAAGCCAGGAGCAAAAAGAGAGGGAAGUGGAACUCCACUCUCCCACACAGAUGGACAUCAGUAAAAACCUCAGCUUCAUGGCAAAGUUCACAGAAUUGCAGUGGAAAAUACUCACAUUAAAAAAUGAAGACACAGAACAUAAGUACAGCUCCUCUGCCCUGGACUGGAUCACAAUGGACACCAAUAUUGCCUACUGGCUCCACCCCACCUCAGGGGCCCAGAUCCACCUCCUUGGGAAUGUUGCCACCUGGGCUUCAGCUAACGCUGCUGCUCUGGUCUACCUGUGUCUGUCCCUGUGGUACUUGCUACGGCGAAGGAGGAAGAUCUACGACAUCCCUGAAGAUGCCUGGCAGCUCUGGAUGUCAGCAGGAGGCAUUUGUGGUGGAGGCUGGGCUGUGAAUUACAUGCCCUUCUUCCUGAUGGAGAAGACACUUUUCCUGUACCACUACCUGCCUGCUGUCACAUUCCAGAUUCUCCUGAUUCCUGUGGUACUGCAGCAUCUCAGUGAUCAUCUCUGCAGAUCUGUGCUGCUCAAGAGCAUGUUCAGUGCCCUGACUGUAGCCUGGUUCUCCUCGGUGUACUUUGUGUACUGCACCUUCAGCCCCGUGACCUACGGGCAGCCUGCGCUGUCCCUCACGGAACUCAAGGCCCUGCGCUGGAAGGACACCUGGAACAUCCUGAUCCGAAAGCAGUGACCACUCCAGCCUGGGUACAGCAAAGGGAAACACCUCUUGUGCAAAGCCAAGAAUUUAUUCUAAAGAAGGCUUCAGGCAAACCAGGAAUUGAGCCAAAGCCAGAUAAUCCUUUGGUCAUGUGGCACUGAUGUGAAGCCUGAGGCCUGUUACCAGCAGUGGCAGUAUUGCCAUUACACCCCAGAUCCCAUGGGAAAAGAGCUCUGGGCAAGAAAGCCAGACAUUCUUGAGCUGAAGCUGCUGGAGUGCAAGGCAAGUGCUCUGACCCUGUCUGAGGGUGUCCAGG